Molecule: non-coding RNA, 631 nt
Organism: Labrus bergylta (ballan wrasse)
Lineage: Eukaryota; Metazoa; Chordata; Actinopteri; Labriformes; Labridae
Source: RefSeq, a predicted model, not a curated record
UCACCUUGUUCCAGCAUUGUUUCCUAGUAGACUUAUAGUGAUUUUUGACCGUGCCUGCCUUACUGUUUUGCCUUCUGCCUGCUCCCUUUGGAUUUUUUUGCCUUGAAGAAUUGACUGCCCGUGUACCGACCUGGACUGUUAUUAAACUCUACCUUUUCCUGAACUCAGCCACGUAGCACAUGAGUUAUUAAUGUCUGUCAGGACCCAGAAUCUUAAAAAGUGGGGAAUCCACUCCCACGCACUCAGCAGCACAAAAACAAUUCACUAGAAAGAUUCAGAUUCAGAUUUGACUCCCUGCAUGUGGCCUCUCAAACAUCCAGAGGAGCAGGAUCAUUUCCUUUCUCCGACAAAUGAUCCCUUGUUAUUUCCUGUCCCUGAUCACAUAAAUGAUUGAAUCCUUGUUGAUAUAAAGUGCGAUCGCUGCGACCCCCCCCUCCGCCCCGAUCACCUCCAGUCCAGCUCAGCAGGGUUCAGAUCCAGACUCAGAAACCCACUCCUCAUCACAUCCUGACUUCUUCUAUCACCACCAGGGUCUAGACUCCUUAGGGGGAGUCUAUCCUAUCCUGCUGUCGGCCUCGCUUCCCCUCUGAGUUCUUGAAGUCAUCAUGGCGGAGUCUAAUCAAAGAUGUUA